AUUGAACGCUGGCGGCAGGCCUAACACAUGCAAGUCGAGCGAGCGGCGGACGGGAGAGAAAUGUCUGGGCAACUGCCCGAUGGAGGGGGAUAACUACUGGAAACGGUAGCUAAUACCGCAUACUACCAGAUGUGACCAGAUGGGAUUAGCUAGUAGGUGGGGUAAAGGCUCACCUAGGCGACGAUCCCUAGCUGGCGUGAGAGGAUGACCAGCCACACUGGAACGUAGACACGGCCCAGACUCCUACGGGAGGCAGAAGUGGGGAAUAUUGCACAAUGGGCGCAAGCCUGAUGCAGCCAUGCCGCGUGUGUGAAGAAGGCCUUCGGGUUGUAAAGCACUUUCAGCGGGAAGGCGUUACCCGCAGAAGAAGCACCGGCUAACUCCGUGCCAGCAGCCGCGGUAAUUC
Molecule: ribosomal RNA, 406 nt
Filed under: uncultured bacterium
Lineage: Bacteria
Description: partial 16S ribosomal RNA
Rfam family: Bacterial small subunit ribosomal RNA
Source: RNAcentral